RNAcentral lists this ribosomal RNA (686 nucleotides) under uncultured stramenopile. Its description in RNAcentral is "LSU rRNA". It matches the Rfam family "Eukaryotic large subunit ribosomal RNA", at positions 569 to 1236 of the family's 3401-position model. The record is from RNAcentral.
AUGCUGAUGGUUAAAUCGGGUGAUCGUGUCUGUAAUUAACUUUUGCCGUUCGGGACUUUGACGAAAUGGAGCGAUUCGGCCCGUCUUGAAACACGGACCAAGGAGUCUAACAUGUGUGCAAGUGUUAGGGUUGGAAACCCCAGCGCGAAAUGAAAGUAAAGGUCUGAGGUAGGAAACCUUUCUCCUAAAGAGGGGUGGCACUAUCGACCGAUCAUGAACCUUCGUGGUGAAAGAUUUGAGUAUGAGCACAUAUGUUGGUACCCGAAAGAUGGUGAACUAUGCCUGAGUAGGGUGAAGCCAGGGGAAACUCUGGUGGAAGCUCGUAGCGAUUCUGACGUGCAAAUCGAUCGUCAAACUUGGGUAUAGGGGCGAAAGACUAAUCGAACCAUCUAGUAGCUGGUUCCCUCCGAAAUUUCCCUCAGGAUAGCAGCAACUUAUAUACGAUAGUUUUAUGAGGUAAAGCGAAUGAUUAGAGGACUCAGGGAAGAAACUUCCUUGACCUAUUCUCAAACUUUAAAUCUGUAAGACCUGCAGGUUUCUUAAUUGAACUUGUGGAUGUGAAUAUCAAGUUGUUAGUGGGCCAUACCGGGUAAGCUGGUCUGGCGAUGCGGGAUGAACCGAACGCAAAGUUAAAGUGCCAAAGUACCCGCUCACCUAGAUACCAUAAAAGGUGUUGGUUCAUCUAG